Molecule: ribosomal RNA, 253 nt
Filed under: uncultured bacterium
Lineage: Bacteria
Description: partial 16S ribosomal RNA
Rfam family: Bacterial small subunit ribosomal RNA
Source: RNAcentral
UACGAAGGGGGCGAGCGUUGUUCGGAUUUACUGGGCGUAAAGGGCGCGUAGGCGGCCUUGUCAGUCAGGCGUGAAAGCCCCGGGCUCAACCUGGGAACGGCGCUUGGGACGGCGAGGCUGGAGUUCGGGAGAGGAGAGUAGAAUUCCCAGUGUAGAGGUGAAAUUCGUAGAUAUUGGGAAGAACACCGGUGGCGAAGGCGGCUCUCUGGACCGACACUGACGCUGAGGCGCGAAAGCGUGGGGAGCAAACAGG